Molecule: transfer RNA, 395 nt
Filed under: Clostridioides difficile
Lineage: Bacteria; Bacillati; Bacillota; Clostridia; Peptostreptococcales; Peptostreptococcaceae
Description: 16S-23S ribosomal RNA intergenic spacer (ISR)
Rfam family: tRNA (bases 44-116)
Source: RNAcentral
GCCUACUGUUUAAUUUUGAAAGUUCUUUACGAACUUUAUAUAUGGGGGUGUAGCUCAGUUGGGAGAGCACUUGCCUUGCAAGCAAGGGGUCAGGAGUUCGACUCUCCUCAUCUCCACCAUUUAAGAGUAUAUUACUUAAAUCUUUGAUUUACUUAGUAGCCUCUUACAAUGCACUUAUAGCUUAAAUUUAUACAAGCUUUGUGUGUUAGCACUUUAAGUAACGGAAUAAUCUGAGUGAAUACGAAGGUUGUUCGUUGACGUGGUGCGUUAGCACUUUGAAAACUGCAUAUAUAUUUAGUGAUAUGACAUCUAAUUUGUAAUAUAUAAAGCUGAUAACUUUUUAAAAUUAUCGAAGUUGAUAGCUUCUAAUCUAUCAAACCUUUUUAACUGGUCAA